CCUACGGGAGGCAGCAGUGAGGAAUAUUGGUCAAUGGACGAGAGUCUGAACCAGCCAAGUAGCGUGAAGGAUGACUGCCCUAUGGGUUGUAAACUUCUUUUAUAUGGGAAUAAAACGUUCCACGUGUGGGAUUUUGUAUGUACCAUAUGAAUAAGGAUCGGCUAACUCCGUGCCAGCAGCCGCGGUAAUACGGAGGAUCCGAGCGUUAUCCGGAUUUAUUGGGUUUAAAGGGAGCGUAGGUGGAUUGUUAAGUCAGUUGUGAAAGUUUGCGGCUCAACCGUAAAAUUGCAGUUGAAACUGGCAGUCUUGAGUACAGUAGAGGUGGGCGGAAUUCGUGGUGUAGCGGUGAAAUGCUUAGAUAUCACGAAGAACUCCGAUUGCGAAGGCAGUUCACUGGACUGCAACUGACAUUGAUGCUCGAAAGUGUGGGUAUCAAACCGGAUUAGAUACCCCAGUAGUC
Molecule: ribosomal RNA, 460 nt
Filed under: uncultured bacterium
Lineage: Bacteria
Description: partial 16S ribosomal RNA
Rfam family: Bacterial small subunit ribosomal RNA
Source: RNAcentral